This 352-nucleotide unclassified non-coding RNA is filed under the name soil metagenome. RNAcentral describes it as "partial contains 5.8S ribosomal RNA, internal transcribed spacer 2, and large subunit ribosomal RNA". The stretch from base 1 to 120 matches the Rfam family "5.8S ribosomal RNA", at positions 35 to 154 of the family's 154-position model. The record is from RNAcentral.
GAUGAAGAACGUAGCGAAAUGCGAUAAGUAAUGUGAAUUGCAGAAUUCAGUGAAUCAUCGAAUCUUUGAACGCACAUCGCGCCCGCCAGUGUUCUGGCGGGCAUGCCUGUUCGAGCGUCAUUACAACCCUCAGGCCCCCGGGCCUGGCGUUGGGGAUCGGCGGAGCCCCCCGUGGGCACACGCCGUCCCCCAAAUGCAGUGGCGGUCCCGCCGCAGCUUCCAUCGCGUAGUAGCUAACACCUCGCGACUGGAGAGCGGCGCGGCCACGCCGUAAAACACCCAACUCUUCUGAAGUUGACCUCGAAUCAGGUAGGAAUACCCGCUGAACUUAAGCAUAUCAAUAAGCGGAGGA